UGCAACCUGAGCUCAGCCUGACUACCCGCUGAACUUAAUCAUAUCACUUAAGCGGAGGAAAAGAAACUAA
Molecule: ribosomal RNA, 70 nt
Filed under: Zoniolaimus latebrosus
Lineage: Eukaryota; Metazoa; Nematoda; Chromadorea; Rhabditida; Strongylidae
Description: partial 28S ribosomal RNA
Source: RNAcentral